This is a long non-coding RNA of Clarias gariepinus (North African catfish), 596 nucleotides long. RefSeq lists it as uncharacterized. NCBI's taxonomy places the organism in Eukaryota, Metazoa, Chordata, Actinopteri, Siluriformes, Clariidae. The transcript has 3 exons. The record is from RefSeq and is a predicted model, not a curated record.
GUCAGUUAAGUGGUCCGAGUACUUCUCUGCGGAGAACAGGGCGGACUACCGCAGGCCAUCAUUCAAAUCUGCACCGGUUACCCCGUGCUGCAGCCGAAGGCAUGAGGACGGCUGUAACGCCAAGCCCUGUCUCAAAUAAAAUUUCUGUUUGGUUUAGGCCAUGGGACAUGGAUACGGAGUAAUCUAAGGGUAUGGGUCCUUUAGUCAUCGUCGGGACGCCGAUAAAAAAAAAUAGGGGGUAGAAUGUGGCAGGGUAAAUAUUUGUUUUGAAAUGUGCUUCGUUGGGGGGUGUGGCUAUCAGAUUAAUAUGGGGAACGCAGUCUAUUUAAGGACCCUUAUUUUGACUAGUGGUGUUGUGUUUGUGGUGUCUGGGUCCUCUGCAACCUGGCGUGUCCCUUUUCGUUCCUGAUCCCUGUUAAGUUUAAUUCUAGUGGAGGUGACGGCAUGGACGUGUGGGCUAUUCUCGGCGGAGCGCGCUUUUAGUAUCAGCGGCGCUAGCGGGAUCAAAAGGCCGGCCGGUAGAUUGAGCUGCGGCAUCGGCGGUGAGUACUCAUGCAGCUUCGUGCGGGCGAUUUGUCUAAACCAAGUAAGUAUAC